Molecule: ribosomal RNA, 488 nt
Filed under: uncultured bacterium
Lineage: Bacteria
Description: partial 16S ribosomal RNA
Rfam family: Bacterial small subunit ribosomal RNA
Source: RNAcentral
AUUGAACGCUGGCGGCAGGCCUAACACAUGCAAGUCGAACGGUAACAGGAAGCAGCUUGCUGCUUUGCUGACGAGUGGCGGACGGGUGAGUAAUGUCUGGGAAACUGCCUGAUGGAGGGGGAUAACUACUGGAAACGGUAGCUAAUACCGCAUAACGUCGCAAGACCAAAGAGGGGGACCUUCGGGCCUCUUGCCAUCGGAUGUGCCCAGAUGGGAUUAGCUAGUAGGUGGGGUAACGGCUCACCUAGGCGACGAUCCCUAGCUGGUCUGAGAGGAUGACCAGCCACACGGGAACUGAGACACGGUCCAGACUCCUACGGGAGGCAGCAGUGGGGAAUAUUGCACAAUGGGCGCAAGCCUGAUGCAGCCAUGCCGCGUGUAUGAAGAAGGCCUUCGGGUUGUAAAGUACUUUCAGCGGGGAGGAAGGGAGUAAAGUUAAUACCUUUGCUCAGUGACGUUACCCGCAGAAGAAGCACCGGCUAACUCCG